This 353-nucleotide ribosomal RNA is filed under the name uncultured Bacteroidota bacterium. RNAcentral's name for it is "bacterial SSU rRNA". It matches the Rfam family "Bacterial small subunit ribosomal RNA", at positions 1045 to 1397 of the family's 1533-position model. Lineage: Bacteria; Pseudomonadati; Bacteroidota. The record is from RNAcentral.
AUGGCUGUCGUCAGCUCGUGCCGUGAGGUGUUGGGUUAAGUCCCGCAACGAGCGCAACCCCUAUCAUUAGUUACCAGCGCGUCAUGGCGGGGACUCUAGUGAGACUGCCUACGCAAGUAGUGAGGAAGGUGGGGACGACGUCAAGUCAUCAUGGCCCUUACGCCCGGGGCUGCACACGUGCUACAAUGGAAGGUACAGAGGGAAGCUACUCAGCGAUGAGAUGCCAAUCUCGAAAGCCUUUCCCAGUUCGGAUCGGAGUCUGCAACUCGACUCCGUGAAGUUGGAAUCGCUAGUAAUCGCGUAUCAGCAAUGACGCGGUGAAUACGUUCCCGGGCCUUGUACACACCGCCCGU